UAUAGGACUCAUACUCCUAUUUAAGAAAUCUCUGAUAAUUUGUUAUUAUAGGGUUUUUAAGCAGGUGGCUAAUAUUAUAGUUAAAGAUUGUGGUGAAACUAUAUUGAAGUGGUAUUUUAUUAGUGUAAAAUAAGAGGUGCUAAGAGUCUAGUUAAAGUUGUGCCAGCGGCUGCGGUUAUUCAGCUAGAGAGCUUAACGGAGCUAUUUAAAGGGAUUAUUUGGGUCUUGUAGUGGUGAAAUAUGGUCAAGGCUCAUAAAUUAAGGUAGGGUUUAAGGGUGAAGCAGAUUAGAUACCUGUGUAACUUACUUAUAUUAAAUAUGUGGGGAAGAUCUAAGAGAUAUGGCGGUGCUCUUGAUAGGUAGGGGGACUUGAGUGGGAUAAUAAACCUAGAGAAACUAAUUUUGUUGACCGCUUGUAUGAUUGAAUACCCUUUAAAAGGGGUGAUUCAAAUUCCAUAAGGGUUGGAAGGGGAAGCUUGAGUUUUGUAUUUAUUAAAGAUAAAGGAUUUGCGAGUAGCUGAGUAGAAGUGAACGCAUCAAGGGUGAGUACAUAUCGCCCGUCAAUACCUUAAAGGUAUAAGUCGUAACAUAGUGAUCCUACUUGAAAUUGGGAUU
This 615-nucleotide ribosomal RNA is filed under the name Longicollum sp. (in: thorny-headed worms). RNAcentral describes it as "12S ribosomal RNA". Lineage: Eukaryota; Metazoa; Acanthocephala; Palaeacanthocephala; Echinorhynchida; Pomphorhynchidae. The record is from RNAcentral.